CGGCAGAGGUGGAAUCUAGGUUUGGAUCGAGGAGGAAAUUUGUGUCACCACCUAUUAUGAUAUCGCCAAACUUAUGUGCAACUGAUAGAGUGAGAACCUUAUCCAAGAAGGCCUGUUGGUCCGUGUGUGGGCCAUAGACAUUAACCAGGGUGAAUUGGGCAUUGUUAAUUACACAUUGUAAAAUGAGAUACCUCCCAUCCAUAUCGCCUAUUCUUUUUAUCAAUUG
Pelobates cultripes (western spadefoot toad) is the source of this 226-nucleotide non-coding RNA. Lineage: Eukaryota; Metazoa; Chordata; Amphibia; Anura; Pelobatidae. The record is from the annotation of a GenBank genome assembly.